Molecule: unclassified non-coding RNA, 333 nt
Filed under: uncultured Glomeraceae
Lineage: Eukaryota; Fungi; Glomeromycota; Glomeromycetes; Glomerales; Glomeraceae
Description: sequence contains 18S rRNA gene
Source: RNAcentral
CCCAACUAUCCCUAUUAAUCAUUACGUCAAUCCUAGAAACCAACAAAAUAGAAUUAAACGUCCUAUUUCAUUAUUCCAUGCUAAUGUAUUCAAGCGUAAGCCUGCUUUAAACACUCUAAUUUUUUCAAAGUAACAGUCCUGAUUCCCCAUGACACCAAAUUAAUGACAUCGUGAUUCAUCAGAAAGGAGAAACCAAUAAUACCAGUACGUACCAAAGGCACGACCAGCAUAUUGAUCCCGAAAUUCAACUACGAGCUUUUUAACUGCAACAACUUUAAUAUACGCUAUUGGAGCUGGAAUUACCGCGGCUGCUGGCACCAGACUUGCCUCCAA